CCCUCCUUCCUCCCCACCCCCUCCCCGCGGUCUCCUGUGCGGUGCCCUGAGCGCUGGAGGCUGACGUCAGGGGCCUGAAUUCCUGACUUUGCCUGCACGCAUUUGUCCAUGUAAGAGUCUUGUUGGAGCCCCGCCCAGGACUCCAGUAGGACUCAGAACUACGGGAUGGUGGAGAGCAACUUCGGUUCACUUCACACGUGAGAGCGCCGAAGCUCUCAGGAGCUGCGACCGGACCCAGUCGCACACGGUGCAAAUCUAGGAGCAGAUCCCAUUCUCCGCUCCCAGCUGGGUUUCCGCCUCCAGGCAGGACCCAAGCUCCGAGGCUGUGAACUCAGAACCGAGUUAGACCUGGCAGAUGACUCGACCACCCACUGAAGUGACUAGCCCCAGUUCCUGGAAGGUUGCGGUUGACAAGCCUUGAGUAACAGUGGCAAUCAGGGCAACUUCCUGUUCUUUGUUCAGAACAGAAACGAACCUUUGGAGUUUAAGACUUGCUUCCCAACCUUGCUCUGCCGGAAUACCAGAAAGCUUGCUCUUUUCUUAGAGCUUGGAAAAGAAAAUACACAAACUGGGUGAACUGGUUUGAAUAAAGACAGGCCUGUUCUUGGAAGGUUGGGGUUGGAUUUUUUUUUUUUUUUGUCUUUGAUAUUUGUAAAAGUGAGCAAAGAUGAGAACCCCAUGUACCAGAUGAAGACAUGGAGUAGGAGGUACUAGAGGCCCUCUGGGCCGCAGUAUUGAAGGCUUUUAAUUCCACCACUAGGAAGGAAGUCUAUGUGGUCCCUGUCCCCCCCAGAAAAACAAAACCAACUUAUGAUUAGUUCUUUUUGUCUGUCUUUCCUGUUCCUACACAAAAGAAAUGCCUCACCUUGGCCCAUGCUGAUGGCAACCCCAGCCCACCCUAAUGGCUCCCCCACCCAUUUCUACAAUCUCAAAUGGUUUGGAUGGGCUAAAUGUGGUAAAGUGACCUGAGCAGACUCCUGAACUCUUCAGAUCUGAAGCCUCUUUCCAUCCACCCUGUGGUCCCUGACCUCCUGUAGCUAAGCCAGUCAUGCGCAUACGAAGUACACCAAGAGCCUAUGGGUGCAGGGAAGCUUAAACGUGGCUCUUUUCGGGUUAGAUUUCGAUGACCCCAUUUCACUAAGAAUUAAGCAAAUGAGUGUCAGAGUGCA
Non-coding RNA from Myodes glareolus (Bank vole), 1169 nucleotides. NCBI's taxonomy places the organism in Eukaryota, Metazoa, Chordata, Mammalia, Rodentia, Cricetidae. The record is from RefSeq and is a predicted model, not a curated record.